UACGGAGGAUGCAAGCGUUAUCCGGAUUCAUUGGGUUUAAAGGGUGCGUAGGCGGGCUAUUAAGUCAGUGGUGAAAUCCUGCAGCUUAACUGCAGAACUGCCGUUGAUACUGAUAGUCUUGAGUUUGGUUAAGGUAGGCGGAAUGUGUGGUGUAGCGGUGAAAUGCUUAGAUAUCACACAGAACACCGAUUGCGAAGGCAGCACACUAAGUCAUUAUUGACGCUGAGGCACGAAAGUGUGGGGAUCAAACA
This 251-nucleotide ribosomal RNA is filed under the name uncultured prokaryote. RNAcentral's name for it is "partial 16S ribosomal RNA". It matches the Rfam family "Bacterial small subunit ribosomal RNA", at positions 524 to 774 of the family's 1533-position model. The record is from RNAcentral.